Long non-coding RNA from Myotis lucifugus (little brown bat), 2715 nucleotides. RefSeq lists it as uncharacterized. The record is from RefSeq and is a predicted model, not a curated record. Lineage: Eukaryota; Metazoa; Chordata; Mammalia; Chiroptera; Vespertilionidae. The transcript is spliced from 3 exons.
AGCCCCAAAAACUGGUCAGACCAAAUGUGCUACCAAAGCUGCUUAUUGAGUGAGCCUGCAUAUCCAGUACAUGAGUGUGAGCCUUAGAACAGGCAAUAGGCUACGUCCUGUGGCUACCCACAACCUAGGGUUCAUCCUGGGAACUGCCGAGGCUAUACCUCAAUACAAUCCAUUAGGAGGGAGCCUCAGGAAGUCUGGAGCCCCUGAUGCGUAUUUUAUCCCAGUGGUUCUCAACUGGGGCAAUUGUGCCUCCACGCCCCCCAAACCUUGGCAAUGUCUUGGUGACAUUUUGAUUGCCAUAACUGGAGAAGGGAGAAAGUGUUACUGGCAUUUAGUACAUAGAGGAAAGGAUACUACUAUAGUGUACAACAAUAAACAGGACAGUUCCCACUUGAGAGAUCCUGAUCUAGUCUGUAGACUCUACCCUCCCUCCCACAGGAAGAACCCCACCAAGUGUUCAGUGACGACCAUCAAAGCACUCAGCAGUAGGGCAGGCCCUUUGUGCAGUGAGAACCUGAACCACCCCUCAGAGCAGUAGAGAGAAAGAAACCUAAACACAGGAAGCUGAGAUCCAGAGGUAGCUGUGGCAGGUUGAAAAAGGCAUGUUUAAAUAUCCUAAGGCUGUGAAUGGGAAACAAUAAGAAACUUACACCCAUGACCUAAACAGUUUAAAAUGGCAGUAUUAAUGAGGCUUUGCAGUAAGACUGCCAACCAGAGCUGCAACUUUACAUUGAGAAAUACCGUACUGAGCAGAAGGCGGCACUCACAGCCCUACAGAGCCAAAUUGGCAUUCAGGAAGCUCAAGAGGGGUAAGCAAGGGGCCAAGAGAGCUGGAGGAGGCUGAGGAGGGAGUGGGCACACCUCUAAUGAGGGUGAGAUGACCCGACUCCCUCAGCAGCCACAUGCACAUUCCACUCCCAAGAGGGUAAAACACCAACCUGGCAAAGAUGCACUCAUCUCAAUGUCUCAGCACAACCCCUUGCCCCUGGGAAAGCAGUCGCGUCACUCCAGCAGCCACAGAGCUGAAGCCCAAGGACACAGUGCCAGGCGCAAGCACUUGCUUUCUUUUUCAGUUCUGCCUGGACUCCUGGCUCAACACAUGCAAGUUGGGGCUGCAACUCUGCUCGACAUUGCUGUUUCCAAAUGCCAGCCUUUGACAUUUCACUUCCCAUAAGAUUACACCCAAUAAUUUCUGAUUUACAUUCCUAUGGAUUUUUUUUCUUUUUUCUUUUUUAACUAAUGAAGCAAAUUCAACUCAGAGCAGGGAUUUGAAAAGCACAGCUAGGAGCUUUUUGUUUGCCACGAAGAAUGCCCUGAUUAUCCCACAAUAAAACAAGCCACUGCAGAAUGAGAAUAUAUCCAGCCAGGAAAUGGGACGUGAGGAAAAGCAUCUGGGCACAUACAGCCUGGCCUGGAACAGCUGCUCCCAUGGGGACUCGCCUCUCUUGGAAAAACCGCCCUCCCCGUCCCCCAACAGCAGGUAAAAGAUUCAACGCAGCAGCCUUCAUGAGCCAGAAGGAAAAACCAGUCAUUUUGAAAUCAACAUCCUAGGAAGGAUAGAAAGAAUUCUGGAGUUUGGAAAUGGCAACAACAGAUGAUCUCACACACACACACACACACACACACACACACACACACACCCCUACUUCUCCAUCACAUGCUUUAUGUGAAAUGGCAGCCUCCGCCAGCAACUCACGGCAGCUUUGAUGACUUAAGGCAAAUGCAGUGCUCUUGAGAUCACACUGCUCUUAUCCACUUCAUCAACAAAGGUUCACUGAACACCUACUGUGUGCCAUACAUUUCUCCCGGGCACUGGAGAGACAGCAAAGAGCAAAACUGAGCCCAUGUCCUCAAGAAGCCCACAUUUUAGUGGAGUAGAAAGACCCCCCCCCCCCAAAAAAAAAUAGAAACCAGAUAAAAGUUACAGUGUGUCAUAUGGUGAUAAUCACUGUGAGAAAAAUACAGCAGGGAAGGGAGAGGGGAGUAUCUGGAUGGGGUUGGUGUAAAUGUACGCAAACAGAGAAGCCCUCACUGGGAAGGUGACAUCUGAGGAUGUGGGGAAAGCCCUCAGGACACCUGGGGAGAGCUUUCUCCACAGAGGACUAGCCAGUGCCAAGGUCCCAAGGCUGCAGCAGCUCUAGACUCACAGCAGGCCUAUCCCUCCAGACAAACCCCUGGGUGCCAGGCAGGGACCUCAGCACCCCUGAAACACCCCUUCUGGCACCUCUACCCACAGGAGUGGGAGCCUGAGAAACAGGGCUGCCCAUGAGGACCCAGGCACCUCCUGUCUGAUGACAGCCUAACCAAGGCUGUACUGUCCAGCAUCAGUCCAAGGCUGAGAUGCUAGUCACUAGACCACCACCGCUGCAAAAGCACCCAGCAGUGUCCCCUGCACUCCACACUAUGGGCACGAUGACACAGGAACAAGUCACGAGCAGCCUUCCUCCUUUGUGGGAUUCCUUCCUGCCUCCGCCACAUGAGCCAGCCAAGCACCUCAGCGCAAGACCAGUCUCAGGGACUCUCCCAGAUGGAGAUGUUUACAGGGUAGACUCAGUGCUUCCUGCUCUCUCUUCCCACAGGCAUAACUCACUAGCAUGGGUGUUAUUCUAAAAGGCUAAUUUUAAAAAACAUCUUGAGAAGGAAUUGAGCUGCACAAACAGCAUCUGACACCUCCAGGAUCUGGAAUACACUUGCUGACCAGUGGUCAUGUGUGGC